AGAGUUCCAUUGAGAUAUAUACUUUGGGAAAAAAUAGCAAGGCUCGUUCUCAAGUGUCCAGUUUAACGAUAAUAGUUUGAUACGUUCUUGUAUAACAUUGGGUUAGUAAUUGUUGUACAAAAAGAUAUUCUGCACAUUGAUGUUUUUCACAACAAACAAAUAAUCUACUUUUCUCAAACGAUUAAAUAUUCCAAGCCGUUGCGACAAUGUUGAUGUUGAACGAUGCCUCUACUUUAAGGUGUUCCAAACAAGAAAUAAAUGCCAUGACCAAUCGUGUUUAGCAGACUCGAAUAAUUACGGCGUUGUGAUAAGACGAUUCAACACCCAAACGAUUGGCAAGAUCUGCAAAUUUGGUGAAGCUUUGACAACGAAAAAAUGACAAAGUCGCCGAUUCGAUUAAGCUUAAUAUAUUUUACUCAUAUUGUAUAAUAUUAUGUUGCAUGGGAAUUUUAUUUUAAACCUAUAUAAGUACAAUAAGUCUUACCCGGAAUUCAUUUGGCACAACAAAAUAAUCUCAUGUUUUUUUUAUUCGGUAACAUUAUCGAUCGCCGAUCAAGAGUAUGUUUAAUAUAAGUGAUUACAUUUUAUACUAUAACAUAAUUAUUGUAAUCUUAAUUUUACCGAUCCGUUUCUAAUAAAUCUAACUUCCAGCCUGUAAUCAUUAUGCUUUCAUUGAGAAUUUGUUUUUGCUACUAGUUUCUUGUACUACACGUUUCAACAAUUUCUUAUUGUUUAAGAUAUGAUAUUAUGUAAGAAAACACCCGUUUUGUGAUCUUUUCGGUGCGUUUUAUGUGUUUGAAUAAUUUGAUUUAAAUGUAACUCGGACGGCUGUUUUCCUUGAUACAAAAUUAUUGUAGAAUUUGUAAUUUUUUUUUUUAAAUACAAAAGAAAAUUGAAAAUUUCUUUUUGAUUUGUAAGUUGCAAUUUUGGAAAGCUAAUUAGAUGUGUUAGACAAAAAAACUAAAUUAACUUUUGAAUAAUUGGGACCCAAAAUUUUAGGACAAACACACUGUACAACCAUUAUAGUAAACCAGUAAUUGCCAUUAGACAGGUAAUACUGGACAUCACUAGGGAUAUUUUUAUUAUAUAAUGAAAAAGUAGUGCCGUCAAGUAUAAUAGUACUACUUUUUCAUAGUUCUACAUAAUAUAUUGACCUAAA
Molecule: long non-coding RNA, 1159 nt
Organism: Adelges cooleyi (spruce gall adelgid)
Lineage: Eukaryota; Metazoa; Arthropoda; Insecta; Hemiptera; Adelgidae
Exons: 4
Source: RefSeq, a predicted model, not a curated record